GUGAUCCUCGUUCGUUGCCCCCGCACCUGCUGCAUCUGGUUAUGCUCCGCCUGUUUUUCCCUGCUCUGUGUACCCCAGUGGGUCCUGCCCUGGCUCAGGGACUUGCGUCGGCCGCAUUGGUUUGUGGGGGCUAUGUGAUGGAUUCUUCCAGGGCAUCGUUUUCAAAGCCGCCACUGAGGGUGGCCCCUGGGACGUUUUCAGGUUGACGUGACUUGAUCUGGACCUGUUAGCGCCUCGCAGUUCAUUUUCUGGGCAUCAGCGGCCUGGUUCCCCAUGCGCCUUCACGAUUGGUAUAUAUUUUCUUCAGCUCCCCAUGCUGUCUCCACGAUUUUCCUCCGAAAGCGAUAUAAGGCUGAGGAUGACUGUUAUCACUGAUGGUCUCACUGUUCUGCCUCUAUGCCUCUCAGUGGCGUCUCUUGGCCUUCAGUUGGCGCUCGAAGUAUUUGUCGGUUUACCUUUCCGCUGUCGUGGCAGUCCUCAUAAAAUCGACUUAAUUAUCUGAAGCCCUGUCCUGGAUAUUUGUAGGCGAUGGGUGCCCUUCAUUUUGCAUGUCUUUGAUGAUUUCUUGGUGGCCAACUUUCCUCUGUAUCCCUGGUCUUUUGAAUCUCUGUG
Molecule: non-coding RNA, 612 nt
Organism: Oryzias latipes (Japanese medaka)
Lineage: Eukaryota; Metazoa; Chordata; Actinopteri; Beloniformes; Adrianichthyidae
Source: RefSeq, a predicted model, not a curated record